RNA transcript from Raphanus sativus (radish), 1415 nucleotides. RefSeq lists it as uncharacterized. Lineage: Eukaryota; Viridiplantae; Streptophyta; Magnoliopsida; Brassicales; Brassicaceae. The transcript is spliced from 4 exons. The record is from RefSeq and is a predicted model, not a curated record.
CCUUAUUUUAGAAUUAAUUAAACAAAGAAAAAAAAGAAAAAAAAAAUAAGAUACGCCUCUCUCUCUCUCUCUCUCACGCGAAGCGACGGUGGCGACAGCUCUCCGAUUUCGAUCGCCAUCAUCUUCAAUCUCGUCGAAUCUGCCGCCUCGAACAUCAGGAGGUGAAUGGCUCUGCUGCGAAAGAUGGUAGAGCUCUGCCACAAGGGGGAUUCACUUGUUGUUUAGCCAUGGAUGGUCUUAAGGUUCUUGCUUCUGGGUUUCAGAUCGAUGAAAAGGUACUUCACUUCGUCUUCUCUUUGUUAGUAUAAUAGAUAUCGUUUGUAGUUUAUUAGGAUCCGUUAUUCCCCUUUUGUAUAGUGUCCAUGGGAAUGGUUGUGAGUUUUGACUCUAUGUUGCCUCAGCGAUCUUAGGUAACCUUCUGUUCUUUCUAUGGAACUAUCUUUUCACACUUUGAAUGGCAACUAAGAAGCAUGGAUAUUAUUACUAAAGUUCAUAUCUUUUUAGAGAAAUAUUUUCUAGUUACUGGCAAGGACUCAUCCCCCUUCUAACUGGUUGGUUGCAAUUAUAUUUUCAAGGUCAAAAUUGAGAAGCUAGUUACUUCCAUGGAGGGAGUUUUGGUUUCCAGAACUUCUUCAGAUGUCAACUUCGUCAUUGUCAAGAACGUCCUAGCUGCUAAGUACAAGGUCUGUUGCUCAAAGAUUGCCAAUCAAUAUUCUUUUUAGCUUCUAAAUGUUCACUUCACACAUCUGUAGAUUAUCAUCGUUGGCUCCCGAUUUAUUUUUAUUUUUGCUUUAUGAACAUUCCAACACUGCUGUUUUUCUUCAUGCAUCUCAAAAGAUUAAUCAGUUAUGUUAGUACAUAGGUGAUUUCCUUAGAACGGAGGCUUUCGAGCGGGAGGAAAGAUUUACUAUGCAGUAUGCACCUCUAGUGAAACAUCUCUCCUUUUCCCAGAAAUUGUUUUGGAUCAGUCUUUUGCCUCUGAUGACUAAUGUGGGCCCUGUAUGUUCAGAAGAAGCCAGUUGUUGCACUGAGUUGGUUACAUCAGUGUUGGAAUGAGCAUAGCAUCGUGUGAUGACAGCUUUUAAGAACUCCACAAAUUCACCGAGUCAGUGAUGACAGCUUUUAAAAACUGAAGUGAAAAACACCUGGGGGAGGGGGACGAGGAUAAGCAAGAAUAGUGAUCAGUGAAAGAGGUUUCUGUGGGGUGGGGGAGUUCGUUCAAACAAAGCUCACAAGUUGUAGAAUGUUGUUUCUAAUUUGAGGAUCAUGCAGCUUUUUUUUUUGUUUUUUACUUUCCGGGAAGAACAAUAAGUUAUAUUUCAGAUUUUACUCCUAUGUUAAGUUGGUACUCAUGAAAUCUGGAGAACAUAGUUGCUACCAAGCAUACCAAAGAUCAAUUUAAGAUUUUUAGGAAA